RNAcentral lists this ribosomal RNA (253 nucleotides) under uncultured bacterium. Its description in RNAcentral is "partial 16S ribosomal RNA". It matches the Rfam family "Bacterial small subunit ribosomal RNA", at positions 524 to 776 of the family's 1533-position model. The record is from RNAcentral.
UACGUAGGGUGCAAGCGUUGUCCGGAAUUAUUGGGCGUAAAGAGCUCGUAGGCGGCCUGUUACGUCUGCUGUGAAAUCCCGGGGCUUAACCCCGGGCGUGCAGUGGAUACGGGCAGGCUGGAGGCAGGCAGGGGAGAACGGAAUUCCCGGUGUAGCGGUGAAAUGCGCAGAUAUCGAGAGGAACACCGGUGGCGAAGGCGGCCUUCUGGACAGUGACUGACGCUGAGACGCGAAAGCGUGGGGAGCAAACAGG